AAAAAGUCUCAGAACAGCCAGUAAAUUCUGGGCCAGAUUUCAACUCAUGUUCCUGAGAUAAGGACCAGAGGGAGGAGGAAGAAAAAGACAGCAGCAAUCCUUUUAUCCUUCUGGCCACAUAUGAUCCGCAUCCCUGAGGACAGCUUUAUGGAGAGGGGCCCUCCAGCAAACCUCCCAACAAGCAGCCAGGCAAGAGCUUGAAUUACGAAAGCUGCUGAUAAGCACUGAGGAUCACCACGCCAAUCUGCACAUUGGAACAAGGAGGACUUGUCAUCCGUGACAUUAAAAAAUAAGAUGGGUCCAAACCAAAACCACA
This 316-nucleotide long non-coding RNA is filed under the name Anas platyrhynchos platyrhynchos (common mallard). RNAcentral describes it as "lncRNA (ENSAPLG00000031182.1)". The record is from RNAcentral. Lineage: Eukaryota; Metazoa; Chordata; Aves; Anseriformes; Anatidae.